AAGCAGUGCGGGGUGCUUACCAUGACAGUCGAGCGGUAAGGCCCUUCGGGGUACACGAGCGGCGAACGGGUGAGUAACACGUGAGCAACCUGCCCCUGACUCCGGGAUAAGCGGUGGAAACGCCGUCUAAUACCGGAUACGACCCGCCACCUCAUGGUGGAGGGUGGAAAGUUUUUCGGUCAGGGAUGGGCUCGCGGCCUAUCAGCUUGUUGGUGGGGUAACGGCCUACCAAGGCGAUUACGGGUAGCCGGCCUGAGAGGGCGACCGGCCACACUGGGACUGAGACACGGCCCAGACUCCUGCGGGAGGCAGCAGUGGGGAAUAUUGCGCAAUGGGCGAAAGCCUGACGCAGCGACGCCGCGUGGGGGAUGACGGCCUUCGGGUUGUAAACCUCUUUUACCACCAACGCAGGCUCCCAGUUCUCUGGGGGUUGACGGUAGGUGGGGAAUAAGGACCGGCUAACUACGUGCCAGCAGCCGCGGUAAUACGUAGGGUCCGAGCGUUGUCCGGAAUUAUUGGGCGUAAAGAGCUCGUAGGCGGCGUGUCGCGUCUGCUGUGAAAGACCGGGGCUUAACUCCGGUUCUGCAGUGGAUACGGGCAUGCUAGAGGUAGGUAGGGGAGACUGGAAUUCCUGGUGUAGCGGUGAAAUGCGCAGAUAUCAGGAGGAACACCGGUGGCGAAGGCGGGUCUCUGGGCCUUACCUGACGCUGAGGAGCGAAAGCAUGGGGAGCGAACAGGAUUAGAUACCCUGGUAGUCCAUGCCGUAAACGUUGGGCGCUAGGUGUGGGGACUUUCCACGGUUUCCGCGCCGUAGCUAACGCAUUAAGCGCCCCGCCUGGGGAGUACGGCCGCAAGGCUAAAACUCAAAGGAAUUGACGGGGGCCCGCACAAGCGGCGGAGCAUGUUGCUUAAUUCGACGCAACGCGAAGAACCUUACCAAGGUUUGACAUCACCCGUGGACUCGCAGAGAUGUGAGGUCAUUUAGUUGGCGGGUGACAGG
Molecule: ribosomal RNA, 1000 nt
Filed under: Nocardiopsis sp. ZZY-2013
Lineage: Bacteria; Bacillati; Actinomycetota; Actinomycetes; Streptosporangiales; Nocardiopsidaceae
Description: bacterial SSU rRNA
Rfam family: Bacterial small subunit ribosomal RNA
Source: RNAcentral